This 959-nucleotide long non-coding RNA is filed under the name Castor canadensis (American beaver). RNAcentral's name for it is "lncRNA (ENSCCNG00000026684.1)". Lineage: Eukaryota; Metazoa; Chordata; Mammalia; Rodentia; Castoridae. The record is from RNAcentral.
AAAUUGCCACGCCCCCUGGCCUGGGGCGGGACCCACGCUGAGGCGCUCCAGCCCUGGUUCUCGCCGGGCGUGUGGCGGCCAAGUGCGGGCGGGUUUUUCCUGCUUCUGGAAACCGCUGAGCAGUCCCGUCGUUGAGGGAACUGCGUCCCGCCAGACUCAGCCUCAAUUUAAGAGCACAGACUGGUGUGAGUCGGACAAGGGUCUUCACUGACUGGGCCAGGCUAAGUCUCCCCGGUAAAAAUGGGGCGAGAUGACCCGGCCUUCCAGGAGAACGCGUUCUCAGCGGCGCCUUCCCGAAUCCAUAGUGGACACUGCCUGAACUAACUCGCAGCACUCAUCUCCCAUUUUUAUCUCUUUCUGCCUUUUAUUCCUCCCCGUCGUCCUGCCUCGCUGAUCUCUAGGACAGGUGCUGUGAGUGGAAGUUGAACUGGGUAUUUCGUCUCCCACUCCCCAGUUGUCCCGUCUACUCAGCAGUGAGCCUCAGCUGCCUAUUGGAGUCGGGUUGCAUUGGAGCCGUUAAAAAAAGUGAUGCUUGGCCGCCACCCCAAGCCUAUGAAAGCUUCCCAGUUCACCAAGAUGAUGUCAGUAUAUCUAGUGAGAUGUAGCACACCCCCUUCAGUCCUUCUGCUUCUAGAAGAGAAGCUGGAUUGCACAGGCACUAAGUACAGAAGCUAAUGGAACCCGGAAAGACAAGACAAAAAGACCAGAAAGGGUUGAGAACAUCUAAGAGGCUCUUGAUAGGAUGGCAAGCUUCUGUGAAAAUCCCACUGCCCUUGUCUUAGUUUUCAUACCAAAAAAAAUCUCUUGACUCAAAUAUAUGAAAAGUAGUCAACAUUUCUAUGUGGCCACAGGAGAGCCUGAAGCUGAAUAAUUUCAUGUCUGCAAGGUGCUGGCAGUGCACCCCAAAUUUUCCACAAUACCUUCUACACAAUAAAUGACCAAGAAAUGUUUGCUUAUCA